Molecule: ribosomal RNA, 327 nt
Filed under: uncultured eukaryote
Lineage: Eukaryota
Description: partial 18S ribosomal RNA
Rfam family: Eukaryotic small subunit ribosomal RNA
Source: RNAcentral
CCCUUAGAUGUUCUGGGCCGCACACGCGCUACACUGACGGAGGCAGCGUGUACUCCUGGAUCGAAAGAUUUGGGUAACCCGCGAAUCUCCUUCGUGCUAGGGAUUGAGGUUUGCAAUUAUCCUUCAUGAACGAGGAAUUCCCAGUAAGUGCAAGUCAUAAGCUUGCGCUGACUACGUCCCUGCCCUUUGUACACACCGCCCGUCGCUACUACCGAUUGAAUGAUUUAGUGAGGACUUCGGACUGGGACCGAUGCGGCUUUCGGGCUGCGUCGGUAUUCUGGAAAGAUGUCCAAACUGUAUCAUUUAGAGGAAGUAAAAGUCGUAACA